Molecule: non-coding RNA, 4924 nt
Organism: Paramisgurnus dabryanus
Lineage: Eukaryota; Metazoa; Chordata; Actinopteri; Cypriniformes; Cobitidae
Source: RefSeq, a predicted model, not a curated record
GUCAGUAAGAUCAGUACAUUUAUUUACAAUUGUUAAAAACUUAAUUCUGACAUGAACAUUUCUUACAUUCUUUUACAGAUAUUGCACUCACUGUUCAAGCUAAUGCAAGGUAAGUUGGCAAUACUUCAUCACAGCACACCUCAAAGAUAUACAGCAAUAAGUAUGCAUUCACAUGUGCAUCGUUUGUUUACUGUAGGUGCCAAAGCAUGAGGUGGUUAUGUAAAAAAUGCAGCUUUCAGUCAAACCGAAGACUACAGCUAUUAAAACACUUAAGGCUCAAACAUGGAAAUGCAGGCCGUCAAUCAUCAAUACCAUGUCUUUAUGCUGAUUGUCCUUGUUCAUUUAAAACAUUUAAUGCCCUUCAGAUACACUUAUCCCGAAACCACAUGGAAUCAGACAAACCAAGCGAGGUGCUGUCAUUUAGUUGUCUAAUAUGCAGUUCAACCCCAUUCUCUUCGGAGAAGCAAUAUUUUGAGCACCUUAGAAGCCAUAUGAGGAGGUACGAGGUAGUGACAUGUGUGUUCAAAAACUGCAACUUCAGUACAAACAUUUAUUCAACCUUUGCAACUCAUAAACACAGGAAACACAAUACACACUGCAUUGAAGAUUUUAAAACUGAAGUCUUGAAAAAAUACCCAAAUCCUGCUGCUUUUCAAAAUCUAGAGGUCUCUGAUGAUGACAUAGAACUUGAUGAAACUUUGGUUGAUGCAGGAGAGAACUUGCCUGAAGUUGUAAAGAAGAAGUUUGGACAACUUCUUCUAAAGUUGCAAAGUCAUUUCAAUGUGUCAGGCAAGUGUAUUGAUCAAAUUGUAGAUGACCUGCAGUUCCUAUCUUCCUCUGCAUCGGCCCCAGCUUUGAAAGAUGUUGUUGAGUCCACUUUGAAGAAACAUAACUGUGAAGUACAUUCAGCGGUUAUCUCAGAUUUGGUGAAAAAUCUUUGUGAAUCACACCCUUUAAGUUCAGCUCUAGGGAAAGAUGGCCCUUUUUCAACGUCAUUUAAGAGGUCACAAUUCAUGAAAGCAAAUUUUUCAGUCGUUGAACCAGUAGAAUACAUACUACACAAUAAAGACAACAGAACAUUCCAGUAUGUUCCAAUACUUCAGUCGUUACUGCAAAUCUUGAAGAAUGUAGAGGAAAAAGACUUGUUUAGUCAAAGAAAAUCUGGAUGUGCAUCACAAUACCAGUCCUUCCAAGAUGGAUCUCACUUCUGUAAAAAUGAUUUUUUGGCUGGAGAUGAGGACAGAUUAAGUCUUAUUCUGUAUAUCGAUGACUUCGAAGUGUGCAACCCAUUGGGAACUUCCCGCAAGAUCCAUAAAGUCACUGCCGUUUAUUGGGUGUUAGGAAACUUUCCAGCAAAUGCACGAUCAACACUAGCUUCUAUUAAUUUAGCUAUUCUGUGCAAAGCAGAUGACACAAAGCGAUUUGGAUUUCAGAAAGUUUUAGAGCCCCUCCUGACAGAUCUUCAAAGUUUGGAAAAAGAUGGUGUUUUUAUUCCAAGUUUAGGAAAAAUCAUGAAAGGCACUGUAGUGAGCGUGGUGGCUGAUAAUUUGGGGGCCCAUUCUUUGGGAGGAUUCGUUGAAAACUUCACAGGAUCUAAUGUCUGCAGAUUUUGUCUUGGAGAAAGGUCCCAGUUUCAGACCACAGAAGUAAGAUCUGGACUUUUUCAGAGGAGAAAUAAAGAGCAGCAUACUCUGCAUGUUGAGACGGCUUUGUCAAGUCCCAUUUCCACUCCUUGCUAUGGUGUAAAAAAACAGUGUGCACUGUCUGAAAAACUACAACAUUUUCAUGUAACAUCUGGUUACCCACCAGAUGUGUUACAUGACCUUCUUGAAGGUGUCGUUCCAUUGGAACUGGCAUUGUCAUUUCAAGCCUUCAUCAAGAAGAAAUAUUUUUCUCUUGUGGAGCUCAAUACUUGCAUUCAGCAGUUCCCUUAUAAGUGGAGUGACCAAACAAAUCGUCCACAUGUGAUUCCUAGUCAUUUUGCCACAAAAAGAACUGUAGGAGGGAAUGCACAUGAAAAUUGGUGUCUGUUGCGUUUGUUGCCUCUCAUAAUAGGUUUGAAAGUACCUGAGGAUGAUGAAGUAUGGCAGAUGUUAAUGACCUUAAAAGACAUUGUGGAACUUGCAGUGGCCCCAGUUCAUACUGAGCAGAGCAUCUGCUACCUUGGCACUUUAAUAUCUGAGCACCGAAACAGAUUUCUGGAAGUUUUUCCUCAAGAAAAGCUCCUCCCCAAACACCACUUUCUCGAGCACUACCCUGAGCUUAUUCAGGAAUUUGGUCCUUUGGCAGCCCUGUGGACCAUGAGAUUUGAAGCUAAACAUAGCUUUUUCAAAAAAAUUGUCAGACAAACAGGCUGUUUCAGGAACAUACUGCUGUCCCUUGCAAAAAAACACCAGCUCAUGAUUGCAUUGCAUCUCCAUGAUUCAAAUGUGACAAAGUCAUCACUUUCAGUCACAACAACUUCACAAGUCUCUGUGGAUGUGCUACAGGAUGGCAUAAAAGAUUUGGUCCAACACAGGUAUCCACAUGUCACAGUGGUGCAUGUUGCAAAAAAUGUUCACUUCUCAGGCACCAACUACAAACCAGGGAUGUUGCUAUGUCAUGGUUUCACCGCAGACUUGCCAGACUUUUCUGAGGUGUUACAGAUUAUCUUGGUUUGUAACGAACUGGCCUUCGUUAUCAGACUACUAAGCACAUGGUACAAUGAGCACUUUAGGAGCUAUGAGUUGGAACACACAGGCAACAUUCAGAUACUGGAGCAAAAAGAAAUGAUUGACUACUAUCCUCUGGCUGCAUAUACUGUUGCAGGAAGACGACUGACUACCUUAAAGCACUACAUUUCCGCUUCUGUUUAGAUGUGCACCCCAGCAAAGCUGCGAUUAGUUUUUGGAGAGAAUGAUGUUCGCAAAUUGGUUCUGCCCUCAGGCAUCCCCAGUACUCUCCAGGACCUCAAAAGUAUAAUCCAAGAAACAUUCAAUAUUCCAGAAUGCUUUACUUUGAUGUAUGAAGACAUGGAAUUUGGGGGCCAGUUUUUCAAUUUGGACUCCGUAGAUGAUGUACAGGAUAAAUGUACUCUGAAAGUAGUACAAACUGAACCCAUCACCCUCAAUCUGGUUGUUAUGAAUAGAUCAACUCUACCAACAGAGUCCGAUGCCAGGUCAUGCAGUUCUCAGGACACUGUUGUGCCAACUCCUCUAAGUGACACUUCUUCUGACUCCACAUCCAGCGGAUCUCAGGACACUGUUCUUCUAUCGUCCUCUGAGACUACCACAUCAUGCCGUUCUCAAGGAUGGCCAAGAAAGUUUAUAGUACUUACUUUUUCAUUUGAUACUGAGCUCUUGCUUUCAGAUGGAAACAAAGCCUACCAAAAGGACGGCACCCUCUUGAACAAUCAUAGAGUGACAAGUAGUGUCCUUGAGACACUUGCAGAGACGAUAUUUCUUUACACUGCAUAUCCAACGGGUGUCCAAAUUAUGAAUGUAGUGGAGAUGUUGAUUGAAAAGUACCCAUGCCUCAAAGAGCCAGGGUCCUUUAAUGGACAAUAUGGAUGGCAGCAAAGGAUUAAAUAUAAAAUGGGAAAUUACCGAGCCAAAUUAAGAGGUAGUCAGCUUUCCUGCCCAGAGCUUGAGGUGAACCAAAAAAAGAAGACAAAUGAAAACUCUACUCCAAAAGGCGUCAAAAGACCUAGGAAGGCUGAAGUAAAUUACUUGCCACCAUUUCCAUUUGGGGAAACAGAAGAAAGUUUAGAGAAGGAGAGGCUAGAUCUCCUUAAUGAAAUUAGGAAAAAAAACAACAAAAACAUAAUUGGUGAGAAAAUGGAGAAGACUUUCUCCUAUCGAAGAAAAGAAGUAGUUAAGGACUGCCCUGCUGUUAAAGAUUUCAUGGAGAGAUGGCCAGCCCUUUUUUGUGAAUCUGAGAUAAAAAAUGAAUUCAGAAGAAUCACCACAAUUUCCUUGGAGCGUACAUUCUUGGAAAAGCUGGACUUCUAUACCCCAAAACUCCUGGCUUUGUUUGAGAUGAAGGGUGGGGUUGCUGGCAUAAGAAUAAAACCUUUGUUGGAUUCACUCAGCCAGCAAGAAAAUAGGCUUGAAGAUAAGCGAGAUGUUGUGAUUCGCUGCCUCCUGUCCUUCCUGGGAGAAUCAGCUGAGGAGCUCAUUGAAGACCACCAGGAUAUCAGCAGAGACGUGAUUAAGGAUACCUUCUCCAGUCAUGUCAUGAAAAUCAUCGUACUCGGCAGGUCUGUGGAAGAAGAUGCCAGUAUGUCUGAUGUCAUCAUUGUCAUCGAGGGAACAGAGGUGCUGCUGGGAUGUAAAAAUCUCACAAAUGCUUGUCUUUCACUCAUGGGCUGCAUUUACUCCCUAAACUUAAGCUAUCCCCCAAAGCUGAGAAACACAUUCGAAGUGUUUCAGAAAAUCUUUCUUGGGCUAGAUGCUUUUAAAUUUUCUCCAAAGGUUAACUCUUUGCAUAGAAAGCUUCUAAUGUAAUUUGCUAGUUGGGCACUACUUGCACUUAUUGUACUGUUUUUGUUUGUUUGUUUUUUACAAGAAAGGUUGUUCAAAAAACAACUUCAACUGCAGUACUAUUUUACAUUCUUAUGCCAUUCUUAUGCAUUUUAAGUAAUGCAAUUCUGCUGGAGACCAUAGAGUUUUACUAUUAUUUUAUUUGAUGUUUUUGUUCCUUUAGUUUAAUCUUAUUAAAAUUAAAGUAUACGCUGGAAGGCAGCUACUAGUUUGACAUUAUUUGCACUUAAACUUUUUUUGAUGUCUGCAACUGAGGUUGUUGUAAAUUGUUUUUUUUAUAUGUUUAUAGAAAGGUUUUAUCUUUAAAUGUUUAUGCAUUUUAAUGGACUGUGUGGUUGUUCUAAAAAGAGUUUACUGGAGUAAAAUCCACUAUAGUGCACCAUUUACCAGAACCAUACAACCGA